UGACCUGUGGACAGGGCUUGCAGAUGCAUGGAGUGUAUGGUAUGGAAUGUAAUUCGUCCGAUGGCAGGCACAGCGCCAAAUGCGACCCACUUACGAAGCGCCGUUGGCGGCGGUACGAUUAUACACGGCAACAGUGGAUCCGUCGCAACGGUGAGCUGCGAAUUAAAAACAUGGCAUUAAAGGACGACGACGAUGAUGAUGAUUCAGCGGAUGAGGAAGAUAUUGAUUCCAGUAAUGGUGAUCAUGAUGAGUCUGCACCACAGUAAGCUCAUCACUCGGUCAGUCAUCUUCAUCUCGAGGAGCCAUGGAGUUGGAGGUGCCUGUCGGCGAUCCAAGCUUUCAAAAUACUUGUCGCAAGCAGCAAUGGGCAUGUGAAAGCAAUCGACGUUCUAAAAAUGAUCGGGCACAAAAUGCAGACAGCAACUUCAUGGUGAAUGAGGAUUUGGCAGUUCGAGAGGACAUCACUUGCUGCUCAACAAGGGUCUACAAUUCAAUCUUGAUUUAGAAAAUUCCGAACAGGAGGAGCUGUUUCGACUGCAAAUCGACACUAGAGAUCUGCUGACCCUACCAACGUCAGAUGCAUUUGCCUCGUCAUCGCUUACAGCUGGAGAAGACAAGAGUGACGCCGGCAACAGCAAAAGUAACAAAGACGGCAAUGAGUGGCACGAACCGAAUGCAACAGACCAUAUAAGUGACAUCAAACUACAACAACAACGUAGUUAUAAAUAGCAAAGCCAUUGGCGCAGCACUCGAGGCCAAUUCACCACAUUCACCGUACGCCAGGUGGCAGAAACAGGGCGAACCGGAGUCAGCUACGGUGACCACAAGCAACCAUGUCACGUACUAAUGACGCAUUGGCGAUUGGUCGGAGAGGUGCUGCAACGCAGGCGGCGCUGAUUUGUGAAAGGUCAGAUGUGUUUUGUAGCGCUGCAUACAACAUGGCGUAUAAGCAAACAGAAUAUUGUUUGUAUAGCAAUUAAACUGUCCAUUAGCUGUAUGAAGCAUUUUUCAUAUCUCGUCGCUCAAUAACAAGCCUACGUUUGCCCCACCACACGCACUGAGUCGACGGACGCCUGGAGUUUAUGUCCCAUUUGUUCUCAAAAAUAAUAACACAAAAUACAAAUGAAUGAAAAUAAAAGCGAAUAUUAAACGGAUUACCAGCCAUUGAGGCAAAGGCUAGAAUUUAUCGAAAUGAAGCAUGACGUGCAGAGCUGAAUGGUGUUUCAUUCUUCAUCAUGGAUUAGAGGUGCAUAUCUGUGGGUGCUAACAUUUUACAGUACAAAAUCUGUUGCUCAGCCAGAGAAUAGCCAAGCAAACUAUAAACCGUUAUAUCAGCACCUGAAAUCACUUUCGUCUUUCGCGAAAUAAAAAAUUCUUGUCAACAUCGAAUCUAUAUAAAUAAUAGAAAUCACAUUUGUAAGAG
This is a long non-coding RNA of Zeugodacus cucurbitae (melon fly), 1423 nucleotides long. RefSeq lists it as uncharacterized. The record is from RefSeq and is a predicted model, not a curated record. The transcript has 7 exons. NCBI's taxonomy places the organism in Eukaryota, Metazoa, Arthropoda, Insecta, Diptera, Tephritidae.